RNAcentral lists this small RNA (103 nucleotides) under Mycobacterium heidelbergense. RNAcentral's name for it is "AS1890 sRNA". It matches the Rfam family "AS1890 sRNA". Lineage: Bacteria; Bacillati; Actinomycetota; Actinomycetes; Mycobacteriales; Mycobacteriaceae. The record is from Rfam by way of RNAcentral.
GCCGCCCUGCCCGUGACGCCGGUGCGGAUCAACAACUCGCCGUCGGAGGCGUUCAGGCUCCAGCUGUCGGUCACAGACCGACUGUAAUCACAUGGUCAGGACG